RNAcentral lists this transfer RNA (76 nucleotides) under Patescibacteria group bacterium. RNAcentral's name for it is "tRNA-Val". It matches the Rfam family "tRNA". From Rfam's summary of the family: Transfer RNA (tRNA) molecules are approximately 80 nucleotides in length. The record is from RNAcentral.
GGGCUCGUAGCUCAGCGGUUAGAGCGUCUCGUUUACACCGAGAAGGUCCUCCGUUCGAAUCGGAGCGGGCCCACCA